RNAcentral lists this non-coding RNA (309 nucleotides) under unidentified. The record is from RNAcentral.
ACACUUGCCGCACUUUUUGGUGCUCGCAUCCGCGGAUCUCGCAGAUGCAGUCAAACGGGAAACAGGGAGUGAAGUCGACGAAGCAUACGGGACGAGCCAACCUGUGCUGCCCCCCGCAACGGUAAGCGACCGCAACGCAAGUUGCAAGUCGUCUCAUGCGCGUUUUUGCAGCGUGGGCGUGUGAAUUUCAUGCCCCGGGUUUGUCACUGGACGCCCUGCAAAAAACGUGUCGACGCCACUGCGCAGAUGCGCGGGAAGGCGAGACGAAGCGUCGCCAGCCCGGAUACCGGCCACACACAGUUCGGCGCG